Molecule: long non-coding RNA, 311 nt
Organism: Arachis stenosperma
Lineage: Eukaryota; Viridiplantae; Streptophyta; Magnoliopsida; Fabales; Fabaceae
Exons: 3
Source: RefSeq, a predicted model, not a curated record
GCUGCGUUUCUCUCUUCGAUCUUGCCUCAGCUGUGCAGGUUUUUAUUGAUUCACAGUGUCUCAGCGAUUGAAGACUAGUGUCCAUGUUAACUUGGUCUUCCAUAUAGAACUGAGAAUCAAGAUGCUAUAGAUGCCGCAAUUGUUGGUAUGCUUGCUGAUCCAAAGGAGGCAAGAGCUGGAAUUAGGGAGGUCCAUUUUUUCCCUUUCAAUCCUGGAGACAAGAGGACUGCUCUAACUUACAUUGAAUCUGAUGGAAAUUGGCAUAGAUCCAGCAAAGGUGCUCCUGAGUAGGUAAAAAUAUUCUGCUAUUG